RNAcentral lists this ribosomal RNA (50 nucleotides) under Enterococcus gallinarum. RNAcentral describes it as "partial 23S ribosomal RNA". The record is from RNAcentral. Lineage: Bacteria; Bacillati; Bacillota; Bacilli; Lactobacillales; Enterococcaceae.
GCCAGUGAUGGUUGGAGCGGACUGAUACUAAUCGAUCGAGGACUUAACCA